RNAcentral lists this long non-coding RNA (1166 nucleotides) under Sus scrofa (pig). RNAcentral's name for it is "lncRNA (ENSSSCG00055026452.1)". Lineage: Eukaryota; Metazoa; Chordata; Mammalia; Artiodactyla; Suidae. The record is from RNAcentral.
UGGGUGUUGUGACCUUGUCAUUAAUCAGAAAAUUGGUGGCUGUACUCUUUUGAGACACUUGAGUCAUUUAGUGAACCUGAUCUCCCCCAGAGUACUCACUUUUUAUUUUUUUGUUGGUUUUAUUUUAUUUUAUUUUAUUUUAUUUUAUUUUAUUUUAUUUUUUAGGGCUGCACCCACAGCAAAUGAGAGUUCCCAGGCUAGGAGUUGAAUCAGAGCUAUAGUGGCCAGCUUACACCACGGUUCAUGGGAAUGUUGGAUCCUUAACCCAAUGAGCAAGGACAGGGAUUGAACCCACAUCCCCAUGGAUACUAAUUGGGUUUGUUACUGUUGAGCCCCGAUGGGAACUCCCAAGGUGCUCACUUAAAUAUGUAGGGAUUAGUCAACCAGUGGAGAAAUGGUAUAUAGUAUAAUCAUUGCAUUUUCAACAUGUCUUAUAAGUAUAUAUAUAUACUUACUGCUUCUUGUAACGGAUUUAUUUAUCAUCACUUACCCAUUUUUAAUUAGCACCUAAUACCUGACAGCAGCAUUGAAAAAGCAAAGGAAUAUCAAUUUAAUCAUUGUCAUCCAGUAGGUUUCAAUCUGGUUGGAGAUACUAGUUGUGCCAAGAUUAAGGCACAAUGUAAAUGUCAAAUGAAGCAGCCUGGAUUAUGUCAUACACAAUUAACGUGGGUUCAGAUAGACACCUGUUUAUCUGGAAACCUGAGCAAUGUUCACAUACAAACUACCUGGACACACUAUCUUUAAAUGCUGUACUUCAAAGAAACUGCUCCAUGGGGGAGUGCUCGGCAGGUUAAGAACCUGACAUAGUGUCUGAAGAUGUGGGUUUGAUCUCUGGCCUCGCUCUGGAGUUGCUGCAAGCUGUUUGCAGAUGCAGCUUGGAUCCAGUGUUGCUGUGACUAUGGUGUAGGCCUGCGGCUGCAGCUCCAAUUUGACACUUGGCUUGAGAAUUUCCAUACACCUCAGGUGCAGCUAUUCAAAAAAAAGAAAAGAAAAAGAAAUUGCUCCAUGAAGUUAAACUGCUUCUCUGGCAUCAUGAUGAUAACAAAUUGUCGUGUGUAAUGGCUACUGUGAUGCUUUGCCCAGAUGUUCUCUUCAGAGUUGACAUUUCCAACCCCUGCCUGUCAAUCAUACGGGCUUCUGAGGACUCACACUUCCACCCUUCACUG